This 71-nucleotide transfer RNA is filed under the name Cordylochernes scorpioides. Its description in RNAcentral is "tRNA-Gly". The record is from RNAcentral. Lineage: Eukaryota; Metazoa; Arthropoda; Arachnida; Pseudoscorpiones; Chernetidae.
UGCAUCGGUCGGGAAUCGAACCCGGGCCGCCCGCGUGGCAGGCGAGCAUUCUACCACUAAACCACCGAUGC